Non-coding RNA from Cytospora paraplurivora, 111 nucleotides. The record is from the annotation of a GenBank genome assembly. NCBI's taxonomy places the organism in Eukaryota, Fungi, Ascomycota, Sordariomycetes, Diaporthales, Cytosporaceae.
GGCGAGAUGGCCGAGUGGUUAAGGCGACAGACUCGAAUGUUUUCUGCAAAGGAAUGUGUUUCUUGAUAUCUGUUCUCUUCGGAGGCGUCGGUUCAAGUCCGGCUCUCGUCG